UGGGUAAUCUGCCCUGCACUUCGGGAUAAGCCUGGGAAACUGGGUCUAAUACCGGAUAUGAGCUCCUGCCGCAUGGUGGGGGUUGGAAAGUUUUUCGGUGCAGGGUGAGUCCGUGGCCUAUCAGCUUGUUGGUGGGGUAAUGGCUCACCAAGGCGACGACGGGUAGCCGGCCUGAGAGGGUGACCGGCCACACUGGGACUGAGACACGGCCCAGACUCCUACGGGAGCAG
RNAcentral lists this ribosomal RNA (230 nucleotides) under uncultured bacterium. Its description in RNAcentral is "partial 16S ribosomal RNA". It matches the Rfam family "Bacterial small subunit ribosomal RNA", at positions 118 to 347 of the family's 1533-position model. The record is from RNAcentral.